This 693-nucleotide long non-coding RNA is filed under the name Phascolarctos cinereus (koala). Its description in RNAcentral is "lncRNA (ENSPCIG00000023614.2)". Lineage: Eukaryota; Metazoa; Chordata; Mammalia; Diprotodontia; Phascolarctidae. The record is from RNAcentral.
GGGGGAGGCAGGAGGGGGUGGAGUAAUGGUUUGCCUGAGAAAUUUCCACAAAGAGUGGGGAGUAUCAGACUUGGGCCCUAUGUGCUGGGUGAAUCUCUAGGCAAGCCUGUGGGCCCCAGCUGGUCUGUGUGUUGCCUCUUGGGGGCUUGUUUACACUGACAUGUCUCUAUCAGUUUUAACUGUUAAGCAGAUUUAUUUGUUACUACUGGCUUCUUUGGCUUUGAUAAUCUUGCUUUUAUCCUCCUGGGUAACAGGAGCAGUGAUGUCUGACUACGUAGUGUUUGAAACUGAGCUGUGAGAAAACACAGCCGGUACUGUUAGGUCCUUGCGGGGUUUUCCUGUUCAUGCUUUUCUCCAGAACUUUGUGCUGCUGAUGUUCAGGCUGUGGAAGCGGCCAGCGGUACCCAGCCCUCUUAUCCAGGCUGUACUCAAGACAGAAAAUCACAAGAGUCAACCUCAGGGAUUUCAUCUUCUACUUGGAACAGGAAAGAAAAACAAGCCACUAUCUUCUGCUCUAUCAAGCCUUGCUUAAAUAAAGCCAAUCAUUUCCCUGGCUUCCUCAGAGGGAAGCUCAGAUGAACAUUUAAAAUCUGUCAUUUUCAUGUGCCUUCUCUUUUUGUUUUCUCAGAUGUCAGGCUUUGGUUUAUGUAAAAAUUAAGAUGCAAUAAAUCCUCCCAGCCAGAAACGAAAGCA